RNAcentral lists this long non-coding RNA (313 nucleotides) under Monodelphis domestica (gray short-tailed opossum). RNAcentral describes it as "lncRNA (ENSMODG00000030751.2)". The record is from RNAcentral. Lineage: Eukaryota; Metazoa; Chordata; Mammalia; Didelphimorphia; Didelphidae.
AAAAUCAUUAAUAGUAGUGUUUUAAAAUCAUAGGAUCAGGGACAAAGUCAAGAUGGUGGUGUAGAAACAGCAAAAGUUCAGAACUCUGAAAACCCUUCCUUAUAGAUCACAAACUGAAUGCUCCUAGGGGACUGAAAAUCAAACCUAACAACAAGACAGAACUAAGGAACCCUCCUGCUGGACACAAUCCAAAAGGGCUGACAUCUGGAAAAAAAGAAAAAAAUUCAUGGAAUUCAGAAGAUCUUCUCUGGAGUGGUUUUAACAAGUAUCUUAAGGAAAUUUUAGACUACAAAUAAAACUAUUCAAGCAAAGA